UGUGAACUCGAAGAGUAGGGCGGGACACGUGGUAUCCUGUCUGAAUAUGGGGGGACCAUCCUCCAAGGCUAAAUACUCCUGACUGACCGAUAGUGAACCAGUACCGUGAGGGAAAGGCGAAAAGAACCCCGGCGAGGGGAGUGAAAAAGAACCUGAAACCGUGUACGUACAAGCAGUGGGAGCACCUUCGGGUGUGACUGCGUACCUUUUGUAUAAUGGGUCAGCGACUUAUAUUCUGUAGCAAGGUUAACCGUAUAGGGGAGCCGCAGGGAAACCGAGUCUUAACUGGGCGUUAAGUUGCAGGGUAUAGACCCGAAACCCGGUGAUCUAGCCAUGGGCAGGUUGAAGGUUGGGUAACACUAACUGGAGGACCGAACCGACUAAUGUUGAAAAAUUAGCGGAUGACUUGUGGCUGGGGGUGAAAGGCCAAUCAAACCGGGAGAUAGCUGGUUCUCCCCGAAAGCUAUUUAGGUAGCGCCUCGUGAACUCAUCUUCGGGGGUAGAGCACUGUUUCGGCUAGGGGGUCAUCCCGACUUACCAACCCGAUGCAAACUACGAAUACCGAAGAAUGUUAUCACGGGAGACACACGGCGGGUGCUAACGUCCGUCGUGAAGAGGGAAACAACCCAGACCGCCAGCUAAGGUCCCAAAGUCAUGGUUAAGUGGGAAACGAUGUGGGAAGGCACAGACAGCCAGGAUGUUGGCUUAGAAGCAGCCAUCAUUUAAAGAAAGCGUAAUAGCUCACUGGUCGAGUCGGCCUGCGCGGAAGAUGUAACGGGGCUAAACCAUGCACCGAAGCUGCGGCAGCGACACUAUGUGUUGUUGGGUAGGGGAGCGUUCUGUAAGCCUGCGAAGGUGUGCUGUGAGGCAUGCUGGAGGUAUCAGAAGUGCGAAUGCUGACAUAAGUAACGAUAAAGCGGGUGAAAAGCCCGCUCGCCGGAAGACCAAGGGUUCCUGUCCAACGUUAAUCGGGGCAGGGUGAGUCGACCCCUAAGGCGAGGCCGAAAGGCGUAGUCGAUGGGAAACAGGUUAAUAUUCCUGUACUUGGUGUUACUGCGAAGGGGGGACGGAGAAGGCUAUGUUAGCCGGGCGACGGUUGUCCCGGUUUAAGCAUGUAGGCUGGUUAUCCAGGCAAAUCCGGAUAAUCAAGGCUGAGGUGUGAUGACGAGGCACUACGGUGCUGAAGUAACAAAUGCCCUGCUUCCAGGAAAAGCCUCUAAGCAUCAGGUAACAUCAAAUCGUACCCCAAACCGACACAGGUGGUCAGGUAGAGAAUACCAAGGCGCUUGAGAGAACUCGGGUGAAGGAACUA
This 1312-nucleotide ribosomal RNA is filed under the name Klebsiella pneumoniae. Its description in RNAcentral is "partial 23S ribosomal RNA". It matches the Rfam family "Bacterial large subunit ribosomal RNA", at positions 398 to 1715 of the family's 2925-position model. Lineage: Bacteria; Pseudomonadati; Pseudomonadota; Gammaproteobacteria; Enterobacterales; Enterobacteriaceae. The record is from RNAcentral.